Molecule: long non-coding RNA, 1077 nt
Organism: Podarcis raffonei (Aeolian wall lizard)
Lineage: Eukaryota; Metazoa; Chordata; Lepidosauria; Squamata; Lacertidae
Exons: 3
Source: RefSeq, a predicted model, not a curated record
AUGUCCCGCUUUUCCUUAGGGCGUCCCUAUUUUCAUCAGAGAAAAGCUGGAGGGUAUGGUAGGAUGUCCCUAUUUUGAUCAGAAAAAGGUUGGAGGGUAUGAUCAGUUAUGCAACCCCCGAGCCAAGGAGAUAAGUAACUAUACAACCUUCAGAAGACAUCUGAAGGCAGCCCUGUACAGGGAAGUUUUUAAUGCUUGAUGUUUUAUUAUGCUUUUAGGAAGCCACUCAGAGUAGCUGGGGAAACCCAGUCAGAGGGGCAGGGAAUAAUAAUAAUAAUAAUAAUAAUAAUAAUAAUAAUAAUAAUGGAAUACGACACCCCUCUUUUCAUUGGAGAAAUGUUGGAGGGUAUGCACUUAACAACCCCUUUCCCCAUUUGAUAUGCACCUUGAGGACUAUAUUUUAGAAACAAUAUAUGGAGAAAAGGACAGUACUCCUAUUGUUAUAACAGUUGUAUAGAAGUGAAGCAAAACAAGUGUGUGUGUUUUUUCCCUACCCCUGCAUACAACAGCUGCCCGGCCUUAUUACUGGCGCUGCUUCUGCACUUUAAACAGAAGCUGGGCGGAGAAAAUUACCAGGUGAAGCUUAAAUAUUUAUGUCAGGUUGCUGCGAAAGAUGCAGGAGCAGUGCAAAACAAAUGUCCCUCUCUAUGGCCAACUGUCUCUUCGACACAGCUGUUAACGUUCCCACAGUCUAUUUUUCUGCCUGUGGUCGGUCUGUGUGGCCUGAUAGCGUCAUGCAAGCUGUCACGGUCUGACAGGAACUUGUCACGUGAAAUGGAGAGCUCUAAGGUUGACCCAAACAGUGUCAAUGUGGCGCUCAUCAGUGCCCACAACGCCAUAGUGCUCUUGGCAGGGCCUGCAUUUUGGUAAGGUCUGGACGGUAGGACCCAAACCAAUGGCUUUGAGUGACAAGAAAGGAGAGUCUGACUCAACAUCAGGAAGAACCUUCUGAUGGAAGAGGAAGCAACUGUCCUCACCAUCUGACGACUAAACGGUCAGUAAGUUCGAGUGGUCUGAGACUUAAUAGAUGUUGAGAGAAGAACUCAAGGACAGCACAGCAUCAUCUUAGUUACUCCC